This 253-nucleotide ribosomal RNA is filed under the name uncultured bacterium. Its description in RNAcentral is "partial 16S ribosomal RNA". It matches the Rfam family "Bacterial small subunit ribosomal RNA", at positions 524 to 776 of the family's 1533-position model. The record is from RNAcentral.
UACGUAGGGACCAAGCGUUGUUCGGAAUUACUGGGCGUAAAGGGCGCGUAGGUGGCCUUCUAAGUUGAACGUGAAAUCCCUGGGCUCAACCCAGGAACUGCGUCCAAGACUGGGAGGCUUGAAUCCGGGAGAGGGAUGCGGAAUUCCAGGUGUAGCGGUGAAAUGCGUAGAUAUCUGGAGGAACACCGGUGGCGAAGGCGGCAUCCUGGACCGGUACUGACGCUGAGACGCGAAAGCGUGGGGAGCGAACAGG